This 490-nucleotide ribosomal RNA is filed under the name uncultured bacterium. RNAcentral's name for it is "partial 16S ribosomal RNA". It matches the Rfam family "Bacterial small subunit ribosomal RNA", at positions 29 to 507 of the family's 1533-position model. The record is from RNAcentral.
AGUGAACGCUGGCGGUAGGCCUAACACAUGCAAGUCGAACGGCAGCACAGGAGAGCUUGCUCUCUAGGUGGCGAGUGGCGGACGGGUGAGGAAUACAUCGGAAUCUGCCCAGUCGUGGGGGAUAACGUAGGGAAACUUACGCUAAUACCGCAUACGACCUUCGGGUGAAAGAGGGGGAUCGCAAGACCUCUCGCGAUUGGAUGAGCCGAUGUCGGAUUAGCUAGUUAGCGGGGUAAUGGCCCACCAAGGCGACGAUCCGUAGCUGGUCUGAGAGGAUGAUCAGCCACACUGGAACUGAGACACGGUCCAGACUCCUACGGGAGGCAGCAGUGGGGAAUAUUGGACAAUGGGCGCAAGCCUGAUCCAGCCAUACCGCGUGGGUGAAGAAGGCCUUCGGGUUGUAAAGCCCUUUUGUUGGGAAAGAGAUCUUUCAGGCUAAUACCCUGGGAGGAUGACGGUACCCAAAGAAUAAGCACCGGCUAACUUCGUG